UUUCCGUAGGUGAACCUGCGGAAGGAUCAUUACCGAGUGAGGGCCCUCUGGGUCCAACCUCCCACCCGUGUUUAUUGUACCUUGUUGCUUCGGCGGGCCCGCCUCACGGCCGCCGGGGGGCUUCUGCCCUCUGGCCCGCGCCCGCCGAAGACACCAUUGAACACUGUCUGAAGAUUGCAGUCUGAGCAAUUAGCUAAAUAAGUUAAAACUUUCAACAACGGAUCUCUUGGUUCCGGCAUCGAUGAAGAACGCAGCGAAAUGCGAUACGUAAUGUGAAUUGCAGAAUUCAGUGAAUCAUCGAGUCUUUGAACGCACAUUGCGCCCCUUGGUAUUCCGGGGGGCAUGCCUGUCCGAGCGUCAUUGCUGCCCUCAAGCACGGCUUGUGUGUUGGGCCCCGUCCUCCUUCCCGGGGGACGGGCCCGAAAGGCAGCGGCGGCACCGCGUCCGGUCCUCGAGCGUAUGGGGCUUUGUCACCCGCUCUUGUAGGCCCGGCCGGCGCUUGCCGACAACCAUCAAUUUUCUCAGGUUGACCUCGGAUCAGGUAGGGAUACCCGCUGAACUUAAGCAUAUCAAUAAGCGG
RNAcentral lists this ribosomal RNA (580 nucleotides) under Penicillium sp. RNAcentral describes it as "eukaryotic LSU rRNA". The stretch from base 207 to 360 matches the Rfam family "5.8S ribosomal RNA". The record is from RNAcentral. Lineage: Eukaryota; Fungi; Ascomycota; Eurotiomycetes; Eurotiales; Aspergillaceae.